Molecule: ribosomal RNA, 496 nt
Filed under: uncultured bacterium
Lineage: Bacteria
Description: partial 16S ribosomal RNA
Rfam family: Bacterial small subunit ribosomal RNA
Source: RNAcentral
ACGAACGCUGGCGGCGUGCCUAAUACCUGCAAGUUGAGCGCUGAAGGUUGGUACUUGUACCAACUGGAUGAGCAGCGAACGGGUGAGUAACGCGUGGGGAAUCUGCCUUUGAGCGGGGGACAACAUUUGGAAACGAAUGCUAAUACCGCAUAAAAACUUUAAACACAAGUUUUAAGUUUGAAAGAUGCAAUUGCAUCACUCAAAGAUGAUCCCGCGUUGUAUUAGCUAGCUGGUGAGGUAAAGGCUCACCAAGGCGAUGAUACAUAGCCGACCUGAGAGGGUGAUCGGCCACAUUGGGACUGAGACACGGCCCAAACUCCUACGGGAGGCAGCAGUAGGGAAUCUUCGGCAAUGGACGAAAGUCUGACCGAGCAACGCCGCGUGAGUGAAGAAGGUUUUCGGAUCGUAAAACUCUGUUGGUAGAGAAGAACGUUGGUGAGAGUGGAAAGCUCAUCAAGUGACGGUAACUACCCAGAAAGGGACGGCUAACUACGUG